RNAcentral lists this ribosomal RNA (393 nucleotides) under uncultured bacterium. RNAcentral describes it as "partial 16S ribosomal RNA". It matches the Rfam family "Bacterial small subunit ribosomal RNA", at positions 523 to 918 of the family's 1533-position model. The record is from RNAcentral.
AUACGGAAGGUCCGGGCGUUAUCCAGAUUUAUUGGGUUUAAAGGGAGCGCAGGCGGAGAUGCAAGCGUGACGUCAAAUUUCGGGGCUCAACCCCGUCUCGCGUCGCGAACUGCGUCCCUUGGUUGCGGGAAGGGGAGGCGGAACACGUGGGGGAGCGGGGAAAUGCAUAGAUAUCACGAAGAACUCCGAUCGCGAAGGCAGCCUUCCGGCCCGUCAACGACGCUCAUGCUCGAAGGUGCGGGUAUCAAACAGGAUUAGAUACCCUGGUAGUCCGCACAGUAAACGAUGGACACCCGCGGUUUGGCCUGUAUGGCUGAGCCGCCAAGCGAAAGCGUUAAGUGUCCCACCUGGGGAGUACGCCGGCAACGGUGAAACUCAAAUGAAUUGACGGGG